This is an RNA transcript of Dunckerocampus dactyliophorus (ringed pipefish), 8806 nucleotides long. It is a transcript of the gene named MAF bZIP transcription factor a, with no coding region annotated. The transcript is spliced from 4 exons. The record is from RefSeq and is a predicted model, not a curated record. NCBI's taxonomy places the organism in Eukaryota, Metazoa, Chordata, Actinopteri, Syngnathiformes, Syngnathidae.
CUUAAACUGCUGUGUGAUGCCUGUUUCGCAAAAAUCGCUCCAGCGUCCACCCCUCGCCUACUCGCUCGUUCGCUCCAGGGCUGCGUUGUGUGGCGAUGUCUCCGUGAGAAAAAGGCGCGUGAAAAGUUGUGUUAAAUGUUUGAAAUACAACACGCACGCCGAGAAGGGACUCCGCUCCUUGUGUGCGCGGCACCGGCCGGCGUGUGUGCGCGACAGACUCCGCCAAGCAAGGCCAAAGUAGUCCAGGACGCAGAGAAACUCUUCUUUGUGACGCUUUAAAAAGCAAAACUAACCAAAAAGUCAAACUGGCUCACGUUCUCGCCAACCAGCCCGGCGUGACAGCUGCUCUUCAGCCCGUUUGGAGGACUGUGAGCAGCAGCAAGAGGAUGGCAUCAGAGCUGGCAAUGAGCAACUCCGACCUGCCCACCAGUCCCCUGGCCAUGGAAUAUGUUAAUGACUUCGAUCUGAUGAAGUUUGAAGUGAAAAAGGAGCCUGUGGAGCCCGAUCGCAACAUCAGCCAGUGCAGCCGCCUCAUCGCCGGGGGAUCAUUGUCUUCCACGCCGAUGAGCACGCCGUGCAGCUCGGUGCCCCCCUCCCCGAGCUUCUCGGCGCCCAGUCCGGGCUCGGGGAGCGAGCAGAAGACACAUAUAGAGGACUUUUACUGGAUGUCCGGUUACCAACAGCAACUCAAUCCAGAGGCGCUGGGCUUCAGCCCCGAGGACGCGGUCGAGGCGCUCAUCAACAGCAGCCACCAGCUUCAGUCAUUCGAUGGCUACGCCAGAGGCCAACAGUUCGCAGGCGCAGCCGGCCCGGGAGGCGCCAUGGCCGGGGAGGAGAUGGGCUCAGCCGCGGCGGUGGUGUCGGCAGUCAUCGCUGCUGCCGCCGCUCAGAACGGUGCUCCGCACCACCACCACCAUCAUCACCACCACAACCACAGCGGGGCAGGAGGCGGCGGAGGCGGGGGCCACCACCACCAGGCGCCCGGCGUCCAGUCCAACGGCGCCUCCGGGACAAACCACCCGCACAUGCGCCUGGAUGAUCGCUUCUCAGACGAGCAGCUGGUGACCAUGUCCGUGCGGGAGCUCAACCGACAGCUCCGGGGGGUCAGCAAGGAAGAAGUGAUCCGGCUCAAGCAGAAGAGGAGGACCCUCAAGAACCGAGGCUACGCGCAGUCGUGCCGCUUCAAGCGAGUCCAGCAGAGGCACGUCCUGGAGGGCGAGAAGACGCAACUGGUGCAGCAAGUGGAGCACCUCAAGCAGGAGAUCUCCAGGCUGGUCCGGGAGAGGGACGCGUACAAAGAAAAGUAUGAGAAGCUCAUCGGCAACGGCUUCAGAGAAAGUGGUUCGAGCAGUGACAACAACCCUUCAUCCCCGGAGUUUUUCAUGUCAUCGAGAAAAUUCCUCCAUCUGUGAUUUCAAACCCCAUUCCUCCGUGCCCUUGGCUUCCUGAGACUGGUUUCAUUGGGAGUUACUGUCCCGAGAAAAGCUGUGACAGAGGCUAUGCUCACACUGCAGACAACUCCACAACUGAGCAGUGAGGACAUCAGAGCGGCUGACCAAUCACAUGAAGACACCUACAAAGCACAACAUUCAAAAAUGUCUUCACCGGGGAACAAAAGACAGGACCUGCUGAAAUCCCUCAAAAUUGCCACUUCUGUCUCCUUCCCUGAUAUUUUACCUCCAGCUUUUUUCUACAAAACAAAAAAGGGGUGGUGGGGAAACAAAGACUAAACGUGACAGACAGUGAAAUCGGGAGGACUACUUUCUCUUCAGCAGGAACUGUACCGAUGCAUGCUUCUGUAAAUAAAUCAUAAUAAAACCCAUACUCCUAAAGCGGGACACAUACCAAGUCGUUCUCACCAUCCCAUAAACCUUCACGACUGUGGGUAGUCCUCAUGGCCCACCAUUUUCCACAUGAAGCAACUACUAUCCAGACACCAUGUAAUUAUCAUUUCCAAUAUCAUUUCUCUUCAUUGUGACCUUAAAAAAAAAAAAAAAAGUGCUUCCAAUUAUCACUGGCUUGAUCUCCAACCACCAAUAUCCGCUUUAGUACAUGUAAAUAGAGAUGGAUGAAGACAACAGCAUGAAACACCAUAUAGUGUAUCAUUGCAGCUCCAGAGUACCAUAGAUCUCAACUUCCAUGUGUGGAUAUUUUAAACAUCUUUCCUAUGAUAAGUUAUUUUCUAAUAGUAACACGCAAAGUGUUUUCUAUACUGCAUAGAGAUCUUAGCUCUAGGUAAAUCUAUUUGUCAACAAGCUUACAGCUUCUACAAGGCAACACACGAGUUUUAUCUGUGGAAAAAGAAGUCACUCUGAAAAGGAAACGUAGGUGAAUCAGGGGUUAACUUACCUUGAAAAGGAGUUAUAUAAAUCUUUAUAUUGGUACUAUUCAGAGGUUUCUUCCAUUUAUUAGCCUACUGUAUGUAUUAUUUCCUAUAGCUGCCAGGGUUGCCAGCCCAGGAGGAAAAACUUUUGCUUUGCAUGGUUGCAUAAGGUGAUUUCAUCCCAUCCUAAUACACUGGGAGAUAGAACACCUCCACCGACAAUUGCACUGCAGAUAUGAGGACACCUCAAUCUGUCUUCAGUGGACCAUUAAAAUCAAAUGGACUGACAGAUAAGAUGCCAAACCAGUGAAUGGACAACCUCAACUGGGACAAUAGGCAACCUUGAUAUGGUCAACAGGGAACUGAACACCUCAACUCCACCGUGCAUCCCCUACCUCUCACGUUUUGGCGACGUUUCCACAAUCCAGUCAGUCCACCUUUCCCCACUGCAUGCCACAAUGUUGGAUGCAACAGACGGAUGCUGCACUGUGGGAAACAAAACAAUUGUUCAGUUACAUUAGAUGCUCAGUGACAUAAGCUAGUAACGUAUCACGGGUUCAUCGCCAAAACUCACAAAUGCCACUGUAUAUAAUGUACUCUAUGUACAGUAUGCCAAUUAUGUAUAGCUAGGGAUGCUGUACUCUGCAUGUUGAGUUGUAGAAGGGUAGGCUCACAUUCCUAUAGUGGAUGCUGUUCAUCAGCCAAAUAGGCAGCAGUGCAGUGCCAAUAGUUCUUAAACUCUUUGAAGGGACACGUAACCUCACUUUUGAUGUGGGACAGAACCUGGCCACAGUGAGCAUGGGUGGGAGGGAAAAGAAGACGAGAGGGAAACUGGGGCGUGCCAAUUAAAUGGCCGCUUACAAAGUGGUACAGGGCAUCCUGCCAGUAGCUGUCCAUUCAUCCAACGUCAAAGGGAUUUGUACAUCUCAAUGAGUCGACAUGCUGCCAGAGAAGUCCAAAAACCAAAGCUGAGGAAAACAAGAGUUCUAAAAGUGAAGGGUGUGUCAAAGCUAUGCUCUCUCCGUCCUUACAAGGUAUACAUUUCUUCUAGACAACCACAUUGGAAAGUUGAAAAAAAAAACAAAUUGACCUCAAACUGUUAGGCUGUCAUGACCUCAUGUCCUGCUAGAAGUUUACUAUGUGCUAAUGAGCUCAGGCGUCAGCUCAACCAGAUGCUCAGCACUGAGGUUACACACCUGAUUCCCCUUCUACUUUUUUUCUAGCACUUUCUUUGAUUUAAAAAAAAAGUCUUUUAACAAAAAAUCCAUUAGUACAAUUAGUCACUUUGUUUCAACUGUUGUGAUAGCCUGACAGCAUGCACACUAUUUUCUAGCAAUGACCCUGCCCAAUCAUAAAUAUCAUCAACAUAAAGAAUAUGCACUGAAAAAAAUCUGUAUUUUCCGCUGUCAGACACACAAAUAAACACUGUAAUCUAAAGAGCAAGACAGUAUGUAAACAGGUCGUCAACAUAAUAGGAUGGUUUAUUGUGUAAACAAUAAGCUGUUACCGUAAUCACAGGUCAAAAGAUAUAUUACCCAGUUGGCCAUGUUGUAGGUAUAUUAACAUGAUGGAUAAGUGAGGGGGGGGUGGGUAGCAUUGAUAUGAAGGGUAGGGAACUCUAUAAAUGCAGCGUUACCAUCUAUUCUCCAUAUACCUCUCCUUCCUCUCCUUGGAAAUGUGUUUUGCAGCACACAAGUGUAGACCACAGUACACUUCCGGCUGAUUAACGUCUAUGGCCUUUAUUUCAUUACCUUCUUGACAAUUAUCUGAACUAGUUAAGAAGUGCAAGCCCAUGUGAUUAAACACCCAAUUAGUGUCAUCACUGGCUGCCUGGACCACUGAAGUUGGGGGCAAAAAAAAUGUGUUUUGGGAAUUUCAGCCAAACCUAUUUUGGUUGGUGACGCUGUUAGACCAUGCAGCGUAACUGAAAUGUGCUUGGCAUCACAGUCGCGCACAGUGUCUGGUGGGGUGUCACGUUUAUUGGUGACCUCAAGCCAGACAUGUUUGGGGAGGAGGGAGUGGGGUCAAAGGUGAAAGGAUUACAGUGUGAAACCCCAUGGCAAUUCCUCUGCUCUAAUCCCUAGCCUCAGGCACAUGCACACAGAUUACACACAUGCAGGCAUUGAAAUGCACAAAGUCAAUGUACAACGCUUUAAAGUGGCCACUUCGUUUUGGUAUUAAAAUGGACAUGGGGACAGUGGCAAAGGCUCAUUCUCAUCACCAGGAAACAAACCUCCUUUUGCCAUACAGCUAAUGACGGCGAUGAAUAAAGCCUUUACAGCCCAUCCUCCCUCCUUAUUGUGACCGGCAGCACAUAAGCUUGUGCUUUGUGUGAGCAGUUAGGCAUCAAGCCCCUUGCUGAGAGAUGAGAUCGCCCAAGAAGAUUUAAGAAGGAAUAUAGAGAAUCGGAUUAACCAAAAAGCUCUCGGCAGACAUGAGAGUAAUACCAUUGAUAAAUGCUGUAAAACAAAUCUUUAGCAUCUGAUUAGGUAAUGGGGAAAAACAGAUGCUUUAAACUUCUAUCUGUCAAUCCCUAUAUAAGAGUCUUGUAGUAUCAAGGCUAGACAUAUUGACUUUGUUCAAAGCAAGGAAGGCAGGGAUUUAUGAAUAUGUACGGUCCUGCUGUUGAGAGAAAUAAAAGGAGAAAAAAAGGCCAGCAGGUGCGGACAGGUGGCUUUCCACCCUACAAGGUUUAGCCAUACAAUCUACUUUCUGACAGCUUCAUUUACUGUCGUAUUUGCAUGCUUUAAAGGAAAACUGCACCUGCACUUUUUUGGAAUGUUGCCCAUCAUCCGCAAUCCUUUAAGUGAGACAUGAACACGGCUUGCUCUUUUCUGUGGGUUCUAAACAUAUAAAAACAGGUAAAAAAGACGCAGCUAAGAAUGCACGUAAUGGGAAACACUUAUUCCGCCUAUAAAGCCUUCUGAAAAAUACUCCAAAAAGCACCAACAAUGCUCCAUUUACAUAUAGCGUGACGUGCAUACAGUAUUAACCAAGCUACAGCGACAUCGUACAUACUAUUAACAUUGUUUCGCAGAUCAAGCUACGUUACUGGCGUAUUGACACCUUGCCACACCACACAGGCUAGCUACUAGCUGGCUAGCAACUAGCUAGCAAUGUCAGCGCCGCACUCAUAAUGUCUCAAAGGUAACGCUAUUGCUGCUGUGUUUUUGUUUUUUGAGUUUGGAAAAGUUAAUGCUAGGUGUAAGCGUUUGUUUCUAUGUUGCUAUGUGAAAUCCCGGGAAAGAAGUUCUGGUAAUACUUAAAAGGACCAAAAUACGGCACAAUUCUGUGCGUAUUGCAUGUUAUCAUGAAUGUACCUGUUACUACAUGGUUACAGCAUGUAUGUAAACCCAUAAAACCUUGUUGGAGAACUGUGGAGGUGUUUUAAUAGCAGUCUUUGUAGGCGGCAUAGGUGUGUCCACAUGAUGUGCAGUAAUGAGCUGUCUCUUUUUAUCUGUUUUUAGAUGUUAAGAACGCACAUAAAAGAGAAAGACGUGUGUUCACGUCUCACAUAAGGAUUGCGGAUGAUGGGCAAUAUUCCCCAAAAAAGUGUUGUUUUUUUUUUUUAAAGCACACUUGAUGAUUUUAAUGUAGCAUCAAAUGGACUUCCUGGUAGCGGAGACAAGCUUAUUUAAACCCUGCAAAGAUUGUUUGCGGCCAUUUAGGCGGAGAAUGUUAGAACUGCUGGCUGGACAUCAGGCUUCACAAUGUAGACUCAAGUGGCUUAAGAGGAUAUGCUAGGAUGCAUGCUAUUCUCCCUGCUGUGAACAAGGCGUAAUCCUUCAGUUUAAGAGGAGUGAAAAGUUUGGAGCAUCCAGAGAGUUAUGCAUAUAUCCCCUUCAUCCUCUCCCAUAGAGGAGAAAGUGUGAGCCAGCAGGGGAUAACCAUAUGCUAUCAAAGUCUUCCCCGCAAAAGCGUACAACUGCAGUCAGUGUAAUUACCACACCAUCAAAUGGGCAUGACAAAAAAGUGUUACAGAGUUCAUAAAGAAAUAUACAUUCCCACAUACAUGUGAUAAGAACACACUUUGCUUUGUUCCUGCAACCGAGGAGGAUGUUUUUAUCACUGUUUGUAGGCGAGAGGAAUUAUGCAAAAACCACUUGAUUCAUUCCCAUAAUCAAUGCUUACAUCACAUUUGGUGCAAAUCCAAGACUGCUGUAGUUUGUUUCGUUCUAGUUCAACUUUAUCUGAGCACUAGCGUAACGUUUCAGUGGCGUGGGUCAGCUCCGUAGUUUGUAUUUACUGUAAGAACUGCUGCUGAUCGACAAUUAAAGAGUUAUGGCUCCUCAUAUCACAUCACAAAGAGCCCACAUCUCUGUUAGCGGAGGUUAAUUUGAGCAUGGCUCUCAUUUCAAUUGUACUGUUGUAAAGGUGCAUAUUAUUUCCCACAUGGGCCUGAAUGAAGACUUUGAUUAUUCAAAAAAGUAGGCCCUGGGCUGACUGCGUUUAUCGUCAGAAGGGUCGUAAGCUGCGUUAACAGCUUCUAGGGUCUUAUUGCAAUGGCGAUCAGCCCCUUGCCACUUGGCCUCCAUGACCCCCAGUCGGAGAUAAGCUUCAUGGGAAAGCACAUUAACAUGCUCCUGGAGUCGCUAGCCUCUUUUAUCAAACGCGGUUAUGUGAAAUCGAGUGUUUAUGGACCCCCAGUGAGGACACAGAGCAGCUGAUUGCCUAUAUUAGAGGCUGAGUGUAAAUGAGCUGGAGGUGGACAAUGGACCUGUACUUGUGGGGAGAACUGAGGAUAUGACGCUGAUGUUUUUCUUACUUACCAAGCAAUAUCUUUUUGCAAUACCCCAUGAGGAGGUUAGCUCGCCAUGAAUCAUAGAUACUCACAAUAUCAUGUCUUCCUUUUCUUACUAAGAUAUGCUAAGACAUCCAAUGUACAUAUAAAAAUAACACUGUAUUAUAUUUUCCUUUUGAUGUUGUUUAAAUGACCACUUAUGUUUGACUAAUUUUGUAAAGACACUCUCCCAAUGGCUGCCUUUUUUACUUGCAUUUCCCACAGACACAUACAACAGCAUUGUCAGAGGUUGUAUACCUGCUAGCGGCCAUUGAAAGACGCUCUCAGUUUGUCUGCAAUGAUGAACGGUGUCUUCUUACACAUGAUGAGGCUGGACUGUUUUCACUGGACAGACAGAGGGAGAAAGAUACGGUCUCAGCUUAAUGUCCUUCGCUGGUGCUGUGCAUGCGCUUUCCUAUUUGCUUUUCCCUUCACGGCACAGUUAACAUCAUAAAUUAACUUUUCCAAGUACUCUGUGCACAGAGACUGGCGCGUAAUAGAGACAAAUAAUAAAUACAAAAAAUCUGGUCUGUGUUAUGCAAUGUAGCGGCACUGGUCAAAUACAUAGCUUGUAACAGAAUUAAGCUAUUCCUUUGUAUCAAUGGGGGUUUCUUGGUCAUUAACGCAUUAUAUUUUACUGUAUGUGCAUGUACUGUGUACUCAACAGACCAGUAUGAGACUGUUGUUUGUUCGCCACCCCCUCCUAAAAACAAAUGAAAGCAAACUGUAGAUCCCGCUCUUCUAAGUCAACGUCUGUAAAUAGGAUGUACAUACCAAACACCUAUGCAUGCUAUUAUAAAAGCAAUUUGUUCAGGUACUUUUGUAAUCCCAAAUUCUCAUAUAGCAUGGAAGGAAAAAUACAAAAAAAAAAACAACAAAAAACAAACAAUUAAAAUGCAUAUGGUUUGUAAAUGAUUAUUGUUAAUGUUUUCUUACUUGAGAACUGAUGCAUCGGUCUGACAUUUACAGCCCUCUGCUUACAUUAUUCAUCCAUAUUUGUAUGUUUCAUAGGGUAGGACUGAUGCAAGAAAGGACCAUACGGUGAUUUGUUGAAAUUUUGGGUGUGUGAGAAAAAAACUCACCUCCAUGUGCAUACACAGUCAAGGAAUAUCGUUUAAACGCUACAAACUGUGGGCAGGCACUUGUUUUAUCGCUCUAAAUAAAUCUUCACCAGCUGUAAAGUGUGCUGCUAUUUUAAAAAGGCUAACGUUUCUGAAACAAAUACAAUAUUAUAAAAACUGAAGCUGGAGGUAAACGCAAUUUUCGACAGAAUGUGUCCACAUUAUGAGAAAUGUUUUGAUUUCAAUUUGAAUUCUAAUAUUGUGUCUACACCAAAAUUUGCAUCUGCCCUAAUCACUUGGAUGUGGCAUUUUAUGAAGAUCACAAUGAGGGACGUUGGAUGAAAAUGUCUGAUUUCAAAGAGUGUUUAUUUUCAACCAUGUUAAACCAUUAAAUCCCAAGGCGCUCAUGGUAGACGGAAGUGUCUAAUUUUUAACCUGUGCUAAAGAUAUUUUAACUUUAAUAAAUAAUUAUUGUAACAAUAAUGAGUGGUUGUUUUGCCCUCUCCUUUCAGGUUUUGCAAAUGAUGGGAAAACUCAAGAAGACACAGAGAAAACAAAAUUAGCUUUAAGUGAAUGCAAUGCAUCUUUGUCCUGGUAAAGCCUUCUUCUUUGAGGGGAAACAAGGUCUGUGCAUUUGCAUAC